GUUAACCCCGUGACAGACGGCGCGGUAAUACGGUGGGGGCAAGCGUUAAUCGGAAUGACUGGGCGUAAAGCGCACGCAUGUGGCUGGGAAAGUCUAUUGUGAAAGCCCUGGGCUUAACCUGGGAAUUGCAGUCGAAACUACUCGGCUAGAGUAUGGGAGAGGGUAGUGGAAUUCCCGGUGUAGCGGUGAAAGGCGUAGAUAUCGGGAGGAACAUCAGUGGCGAAGGCGGCUACCUGGCCCAAUACUGACACUCAGGUGCGACAGCGUGGGGAGCAAACAGGAUUAGAUACCCUAGUAGUC
This 300-nucleotide ribosomal RNA is filed under the name uncultured Desulfurococcus sp. Its description in RNAcentral is "bacterial SSU rRNA". It matches the Rfam family "Bacterial small subunit ribosomal RNA", at positions 496 to 795 of the family's 1533-position model. Lineage: Archaea; Thermoproteati; Thermoproteota; Thermoprotei; Desulfurococcales; Desulfurococcaceae. The record is from RNAcentral.